CCAGAGCAACAGCAUCAUAGUUUUGCACUCUUGCAUCAAAAGCUGAACAAACUCAACAAGCUACUUCCCCCAGGCCGACGUAGGUAUGAGAGGGAAGAGCAGAGGGGAGAUGUGCCAUGCUUUGUGCCACUGUGUGCCAGGGCUUCAGCCCAGGCAGGCACAGCUCUACUGUGCUGCUGAUCUGGACUACGGUUUUUGGCAAUGGCUUUGGGAAGAAGGAAGAUCUACAGAAGGAGAGAAGUUGCUUGGAGACUUACUCCUGACAGUAUCCUAUAAAGAGCAUCAAGUAAAGGUGAAUGACUGUAGAGCAGACUACAGAAUAAGGCUCACCUGCCCCUGGACUGGCUCUACAGCUUCAGCAAGGUCUUGUGUGAGCAGAGAGGACUUCUCUGGCCUGCCAGCAGUACCACCAGAUGAGGCUGCAGCAAAGAGCCUCUCCUCACAAACCAGUCUGACCUGGGAGGCCCCGUAAGCGAAACCACAGACCACACUCUGCUGGUACAGUAUCCAUUGGCUGCUGGGGAGCUCUGCUGGAUGGUGAGCACAUCCUGAAUGAGCUACUGGUCAGAACAAAACCCCAGCCCUUCAGCAGAAAAGAGUGAAAUAAAAAUUUAAAGCAGGU
RNAcentral lists this long non-coding RNA (622 nucleotides) under Serinus canaria (Common canary). RNAcentral's name for it is "lncRNA (ENSSCAG00000011443.1)". The record is from RNAcentral. Lineage: Eukaryota; Metazoa; Chordata; Aves; Passeriformes; Fringillidae.